RNAcentral lists this ribosomal RNA (301 nucleotides) under uncultured bacterium. RNAcentral describes it as "partial 16S ribosomal RNA". It matches the Rfam family "Bacterial small subunit ribosomal RNA", at positions 509 to 807 of the family's 1533-position model. The record is from RNAcentral.
CAGUAGCCGCGGUAAAACGUAGGGUGCAAGCGUUAAUCGGAAUUACUGGGCGUAAAGCGUGCGCAGGCGGUUCUAUAAGACAGAUGUGAAAUCCCCGGGCUCAACCUGGGAACUGCAUUUGUGACUGUAGAGCUGGAGUGCGGCAGAGGGGGAUGGAAUUCCGCGUGUAGCAGUGAAAUGCGUAGAUAUGCGGAGGAACACCGAUGGCGAAGGCAAUCCCCUGGGCCUGCACUGACGCUCAUGCACGAAAGCGUGGGGAGCAAACAGGAUUAGAUACCCCCGUAGUCCCUGUCUCUUAUAC